CUGUUUGAGACAAGAGGUUUAAAAAGGAGGAAUGUCUUUGGACAUUGAGCACAGACUUUAACAUCAGCUGGUAUCGAUCAUCUCCAGAUUACCACGGCAACAGAGAAAGACAAAAUGAACAUCAUUCUCCUGAUUGCCAUCACCUUCACUUUAGCCCCUGUUUGCGGGGGGCAAAUCGUGUUUGAUGGCAACAUCACGGACUGGUCCGACUUGGCAUCACCCCUCUUACAACCCUGUGAAGGAAGGAGCCACGUGGCUAAGUAUAGGGCAUUUGUCAACAGACACAUCCUUCAAGGCUCCUUUGACAGAAAUUCUAUACAGCAAUGGAAAAGUUAUUUACAAGGAAAAAGACUCUGUGGCAGAGCUCCAGUGCAGACCUUCAUCGAUGCCAGACUGGGAGCUGUCCAUCAGAUCUGCAGCAGGUCAGGCCGGCGUCUGCAGGGUUCCUCAGGUAACUUGUGCAUCAGCAGGUCACUGAUGCAGGUGUAUGAUGUCAUAUCUGACCAAAAUUGCAGUAUGAAUAGGAUGAAUGUACAACCUGACAACCGGGAAGUGAUUGUGGCAUGUGAUAAGGUUAAUAAUCAGUGCCGUCCUGUCCAUUUUGAGAAAUACAGAGGCCAAAGUCCGAGCAAUAGACCCUGUACUUGAGUUGGACACUCAGUUCCAGUUGUCAGGUUUAUUAUUCCUUGACAUCUAAAUAUUUCUAUCAAGCUUUGCCAAAUGAUUUUUGCUCAUAAAAAUAUAAAGAAAUAUUGGCAUGUGAUUUUUUUUUUUUUUUAUAAAGCAACACAUUCUUUCUGCCCCCACGAGCAUGUUGUCAGGAUGAAUAUGUGCUGUGAAUAACAGAAUUUCUUUUUUUUAAUAUAUAAAUGAUGUGAUUUAAAUUAGGAUUCAAAUGUUUUCUGCUGUGACAGAAGUACAUUUUAUGCUAAAGCUCAUUUACAACUUAAAGAAAACUAAACUACUGGUACAUAAAUGUAAAACCCAAAGUUUUGUUUUCAGAUGGAUUAGAAUUCGCUCGACCACUUGAAAUUAAUUUUUCUGUCAUUUGUAUCAGUUAAAUCCUUUUACAUAGAUUGGUUUUGUCAAACUGUGUUGUAAUCCUUUUUUUUAAUUGCUAUGUAUACAGUCAAAUGCCUUCUGUCAAAAUGAUUCUCAUGUAAGAUUACUGUCAUGUCUUUCUUUUGGCAAAAAAAAAGUUUGAAUCUGUGAAAUCUGUGAUUAUUUUAUUCUUUAAGACGCAUAUCAUUAAUGAUAGCUGGUUGCUGAUGCUGUUUUCUGAGUUCAUUUUUGUUCAUGUGAAGAACUGAUAUUUUCUUCUGUGUUCUGCAGAACUCACAAUAAAUACUGCAAAUUGA
Seriola aureovittata is the source of this 1358-nucleotide long non-coding RNA. RefSeq lists it as uncharacterized. NCBI's taxonomy places the organism in Eukaryota, Metazoa, Chordata, Actinopteri, Carangiformes, Carangidae. The record is from RefSeq and is a predicted model, not a curated record. The transcript has 3 exons.